CGGGCGGCAGCAGUGGGGAAUAUUGGACAAUGGGCGAAAGCCUGAUCCAGCCAUGCCGCGUGUGUGAAGAAGGCCUUUUGGUUGUAAAGCACUUUAAGCGAGGAGGAGGCUACCUGGAUUAAUACUCUAGGAUAGUGGACGUUACUCGCAGAAUAAGCACCGGCUAACUCUGUGCCAGCAGCCGCGGUAAUACAGAGGGUGCGAGCGUUAAUCGGAUUUACUGGGCGUAAAGCGUGCGUAGGCGGCUUUUUAAGUCGGAUGUGAAAUCCCUGAGCUUAACUUAGGAAUUGCAUUCGAUACUGGGAAGCUAGAGUAUGGGAGAGGAUGGUAGAAUUCCAGGUGUAGCGGUGAAAUGCGUAGAGAUCUGGAGGAAUACCGAUGGCGAAGGCAGCCAUCUGGCCUAAUACUGACGCUGAGGUACGAAAGCAUGGGGAGCAAACAGGAUUAGAUACCCCCGU
RNAcentral lists this ribosomal RNA (458 nucleotides) under uncultured Acinetobacter sp. RNAcentral's name for it is "bacterial SSU rRNA". It matches the Rfam family "Bacterial small subunit ribosomal RNA", at positions 342 to 791 of the family's 1533-position model. The record is from RNAcentral. Lineage: Bacteria; Pseudomonadati; Pseudomonadota; Gammaproteobacteria; Moraxellales; Moraxellaceae.